CACACCCGUUCCCAUCCCGAACACGGCAGUUAAGCCCUCCAGCGCCGAUGGUACUGCAGUUUACUGUGGGAGAGUAGGUCGUUGCCAGGA
This 90-nucleotide ribosomal RNA is filed under the name Firmicutes bacterium HGW-Firmicutes-15. The record is from RNAcentral. Lineage: Bacteria; Bacillati; Bacillota.